GUUCCCGCUUGCUUCUUCGCCUGUUGCAAGGUUAGGCUUGGGUGAAACAGGGCCGGCGAGGGGGGGGGGGGGGGAGUGAGUAAGGCGACCGCCUUAAGCCCUGCGCUUGCAUAGGCACCGCGCACGAAGCCCUCAACCAGGGAUUACUUUUUUUUAAUAUCAAGUAUGCACUUAAUCGUGUGAAACAGGCCCCGCGAUAUGCCUUUGCUUCAGGCCCCGCACACCCCUAGCACCAGCCCUGGGUGAAAUAUUGCGUUUUUUGUACUGUACUGCUGAAACAAGAUGUUUCGUAGAAGCGGAGAGGCUUCUUGCCGCAGGACAUUUUCUUCUCAGUGGCGUGGUUGAACGAACUUCGUCCGCUAUAGCCGUCGUCGGCCUGUGCGUUCAAACGUCGGGAAUAAAUGCUUCGCUGCACCGUGUCGAUGCCAGCUUUGCGACCGCUCAGGACUGUCUUAGAAUUACAAAAGGACAAUGCAGCUGCACUGCAGGAAAAUCAGAAAAGUGCAAACACACAUCUGCGCUUCUCCUACGUUGUUACAGGAGCGGCCUGUCAUCAUUGUCCGACAUCGGUUGCACCGACAUUGAGUGCGCGUGGGUGCCUACGGAAAAGAAUGUGCAACAAAUGUACAAUCCCGUGCCUCUCCGAGAUUUUUGUCACGUCGAAGCACCGAAGAGGCCUUCUGUUCCUGCAGGGAAAUCGCUGGAGUACACUAAAGGGCUGAAAGCGGUGUGCCCUGAGUCUGCAAUUGAGUUGCACAGGUUCUGCCUGAUAGCAGAAGAACGUGUAAGAAAGCCAACUUGAAAGAAAAGUAUGCGGCGAGGAGGAAGGAAGAUGGAAUGAGACGUGGGCAGACGAGAAAGGGAAUUUGUACAUCAGAUACCGCGCGCGAAGCCCGGCUAUCAGCAGCAAUUGCCCAGCGCAGAAUGAAAACGUGAUGAAUCAGCUUAGAUAAGCUUUGCCAAACUUUUCUUCGCUGUGCUGCUGCUCAGAGUUCUGGGGUGCUGCUCGUAGCGUGUGAAACGGGGUGAUUGCUACUUGUAAGGCUAGACCUGGUCCAUUUUUUGUUCAUGUGGGGAAUGGGGAUACCGUCGACGAAGACCAAUGUGUGUCCUGGGGCGACUUCUGAUGGAAAUGUGCCGUGGUAUGUGUGACAGCGUCUGAGGAAAAGCCCAGAAAUUAUCCUACAUUAUGCUGAAAAGAAAUUAUGCUCGAUAAGCUAAGAAAGCGAAUUCCGUAACCGCACCUCACUUGUUUCACUUUGUUACUUGCACCUUGUUACUCAGUGAUCACUGUAUCCUACGCUUCAGUUUGUUCUUGGCCUUAUCAUGAGGACACUUCAAUGCUUAAUUCCAAAUUUUGCGUCUUAGUCUCUUCCCGGCACCAUCAAGAAUGCUUGUCGGUUAUCAACUCCCUCCCUUAGAGAAAUAAAAAUAAGAAAAUAAACAA
Ornithodoros turicata is the source of this 1447-nucleotide long non-coding RNA. RefSeq lists it as uncharacterized. The record is from RefSeq and is a predicted model, not a curated record. Lineage: Eukaryota; Metazoa; Arthropoda; Arachnida; Ixodida; Argasidae. The transcript has 3 exons.